Molecule: ribosomal RNA, 458 nt
Filed under: uncultured bacterium
Lineage: Bacteria
Description: bacterial SSU rRNA
Rfam family: Bacterial small subunit ribosomal RNA
Source: RNAcentral
AUUGAACGCUGGCGGCAGGCCUAACACAUGCAAGUCGAGCGAGAAAGCACUUCGGUGCGAGUACAGCGGCGGACGGGUGAGUAACGCGUAGGAAUCUACCCGGUAGUGGGGGACAACAUGGUGAAAACCAUGCUAAUACCGCAUACGCCCUUAGGGGGAAAGCGGGGGAUCUUCGGACCUCGCGCUAUCGGAUGAGCCUGCGUAGGAUUAGCUAGUUGGUGAGGUAAAGGCUCACCAAGGCGACGAUCCUUAGCUGGUCUGAGAGGACGACCAGCCACACUGGGACUGAGACACGGCCCAGACUCCUACGGGAGGCAGCAGUGGGGAAUUUUCCGCAAUGGGCGAAAGCCUGACGGAGCAACGCCGCGUGAGGGAUGAAGGCCUCUGGGCUGUAAACCUCUUUUAUCAAGGAAGAAGAUCUGACGGUACUUGAUGAAUAAGCCACGGCUAAUUCCGUG